RNAcentral lists this ribosomal RNA (421 nucleotides) under uncultured bacterium. Its description in RNAcentral is "partial 16S ribosomal RNA". It matches the Rfam family "Bacterial small subunit ribosomal RNA", at positions 363 to 776 of the family's 1533-position model. The record is from RNAcentral.
AUUGGACAAUGGGCGAAGGCCGGAUCCAGCCAUGCCGCGUGGGUGAAGAAGGUCUUCGGAUUGUAAAGCACUGUAAGUUGGGAGGAAGGGCAGUAAGUUAAUACCUGACUGUUUGGACGUUACCGACAGAAUAAGCACCGGCUAACUUAGUUCCAGCAGCCGCGGUAAUACGAAGGGUGCAAGCGUUACUCGGAAUUACUGGGGGUAAAGCGCGCGUAGGUGGUUUGUUAAGUUGGAAGUGAAAGCCCCGGGCUCAACCUGGGAACUGCUUUCAAAACUGACGAGCUAGAGUACGGUAGAGGGUAGUGGAAUUUCCUGUGUAGCGGUGAAAUGCGUAGAUAUAGGAAGGAACAUCAGUGGCGAAGGCGACUACCUGGACUGAUACUGACACUGAGGUGCGAAAGCGUGGGGAGCAAACAGG